AGAACCCAAGGACUAACGAAGCAAUGUUCCUUCUAGUGACUCAGGCUGAAACCUUUUUAGAACAGUUCGUUAGUCAAUCUCAACUCUUAACCAGGACUAGCAGCCUUCUGACAUCUCUGCUUGCAACCCAGCAGCACCAUUUCGAGCAAGCUAAUAAUUGCAAUGCAGAAGUCACAACUAUCAAAGCUGCCUCUGAUGAAGCUCU
This 205-nucleotide long non-coding RNA is filed under the name Trifolium pratense (red clover). Its description in RNAcentral is "long non-coding RNA (TPRA_LNC004763)". The record is from RNAcentral. Lineage: Eukaryota; Viridiplantae; Streptophyta; Magnoliopsida; Fabales; Fabaceae.